RNAcentral lists this ribosomal RNA (657 nucleotides) under Acarospora strigata. RNAcentral describes it as "partial large subunit ribosomal RNA". It matches the Rfam family "Eukaryotic large subunit ribosomal RNA", at positions 224 to 909 of the family's 3401-position model. The record is from RNAcentral. Lineage: Eukaryota; Fungi; Ascomycota; Lecanoromycetes; Acarosporales; Acarosporaceae.
UGUGUCUGGUCGCCACGCCCCUGUGAAGCUCCUUCGACGAGUCGAGUUGUUUGAGAAUGCAGCUCAAAAUGGGCGGUAAAUCUCAUAUAAAGCUAAAUAUUGGCCAGAGACCGAUAGCGCACAAGUAGAGUGAUCGAAAGAUGAAAAGCACUUUGGAAAGAGAUUCAAACAGUACGUGAAAUGGUUGAAAGGGAAGCGCUUGCAACCAGACUUGCCCGCGGGUGAUCAGCCGGUAUUCUUACCGGUGCACUCGCCCGUGGUCAGGCCAGCAUCGGUUUGGGCGGCUGGAUAAAGUCCACCGGAAUGUAGCUCCUCUCGGGGAGUGUUAUAGCCGGAGGUGCCAUGCAGCCCGCCCGGACCGAGGACCGCGCUUCGGCUAGGAUGCUGGCGUAAUGGUUGUAAGCGACCCGUCUUGAAACACGGACCAAGGAGUCUAACAUCUAUGCGAGUGUUUGGGUGUCAAACCCAUGCGCGUAAUGAAAGUGAACGGAGGUGGGAACCCUCAAGGGUGCACCAUCGACCGAUCCUGAUGUCUUCGGAUGGAUUUGAGUAAGAGCAUAGCUGUUGGGACCCGAAAGAUGGUGAACUAUGCCUGAAUAGGGUGAAGCCAGAGGAAACUCUCUCGCAGCGGUUCUGACGUGCAAAUCGAUCGUCAAA